This 620-nucleotide ribosomal RNA is filed under the name Proteus mirabilis. RNAcentral's name for it is "partial 23S ribosomal RNA". It matches the Rfam family "Bacterial large subunit ribosomal RNA", at positions 589 to 1209 of the family's 2925-position model. Lineage: Bacteria; Pseudomonadati; Pseudomonadota; Gammaproteobacteria; Enterobacterales; Morganellaceae. RNAcentral also lists the same sequence under 2 other names. The record is from RNAcentral.
UGGGGUGACUGCGUACCUUUUGUAUAAUGGGUCAGCGACUUAUAUUCUGUAGCAAGGUUAACCGAAUAGGGGAGCCGUAGGGAAACCGAGUCUUAACUGGGCGAAUGAGUUGCAGGGUAUAGACCCGAAACCCGGUGAUCUAUCCAUGGGCAGGUUGAAGGUUGGGUAACACUAACUGGAGGACCGAACCGACUAAUGUUGAAAAAUUAGCGGAUGACUUGUGGAUGGGGGUGAAAGGCCAAUCAAACCGGGAGAUAGCUGGUUCUCCCCGAAAGCUAUUUAGGUAGCGCCUCGUGAACUCAUCUUCGGGGGUAGAGCACUGUUUCGACUAGGGGGUCAUCCCGACUUACCAACUCGAUGCAAACUGCGAAUACCGAAGAAUGUUAUCACGGGAGACACACGGCGGGUGCUAACGUCCGUCGUGAAGAGGGAAACAACCCAGACCGCCAGCUAAGGUCCCAAAGUCAUGGUUAAGUGGGAAACGAAGUGGGAAGGCUCAGACAGCCAGGAUGUUGGCUUAGAAGCAGCCAUCAUUUAAAGAAAGCGUAAUAGCUCACUGGUCGAGUCGGCCCGCGCGGAAGAUGUAACGGGGCUAAACCAUGCACCGAAGCUGCGGCAGC